Molecule: ribosomal RNA, 428 nt
Filed under: uncultured bacterium
Lineage: Bacteria
Description: partial 16S ribosomal RNA
Rfam family: Bacterial small subunit ribosomal RNA
Source: RNAcentral
GUGGGGAAUAUUAGGCAAUGGGCGAAAGCCUGACCUAGCAACGCCGCGUGAAGGAAGAAGGCCUUCGGGUUGUAAACUUCUUUUAUGAGGGACGAAGGACGUGACGGUACCUCAUGAAUAAGCCACGGCUAACUACGUGCCAGCAGCCGCGGUAAUACGUAGGUGGCAAGCGUUGUCCGGAUUUACUGGGUGUAAAGGGCGCGUAGGCGGGAUAGCAAGUCAGGUGUGAAAUCCGGGGGCUUAACCCUCGAACUGCACUUGAAACUGUUAUUCUUGAGUGAUGGAGAGGCAAGCGGAAUUCCGAGUGUAGCGGUGAAAUGCGUAGAUAUUAGGAGGAACACCAGUGGCGAAGGCGGCUUGCUGGACAUUAACUGACGCUGAGGCGCGAAAGCGUGGGGAGCAAACAGGAUUAGAAACCCUGGUAGUCC